RNAcentral lists this transfer RNA (71 nucleotides) under Ictidomys tridecemlineatus (thirteen-lined ground squirrel). RNAcentral describes it as "Spermophilus tridecemlineatus (thirteen-lined ground squirrel) tRNA". It matches the Rfam family "tRNA". Rfam says of the family: Transfer RNA (tRNA) molecules are approximately 80 nucleotides in length. Their secondary structure includes four short double-helical elements and three loops (D, anti-codon, and T loops). The record is from Rfam by way of RNAcentral. Lineage: Eukaryota; Metazoa; Chordata; Mammalia; Rodentia; Sciuridae.
GUGGUUGUGGUUCAGCGGUAGAGCACUUGUCUAGCAUGCGUGAAGCUCUGGGUUCCAUCCUCAGCACCACA